Molecule: long non-coding RNA, 5589 nt
Filed under: Marmota monax (woodchuck)
Lineage: Eukaryota; Metazoa; Chordata; Mammalia; Rodentia; Sciuridae
Source: RNAcentral
GGUGAUGAUACAGAUGAAGCCAAGCCUGAUCCUUCUGAAACCUUAGCCCCCACAUCAGCCACCUGCCAGUGAUUAUUUUUUUAACUUGGAGGAAAAAGUAGAUAUAAAUCACUUGGUGUGUCUGACAAUUUUUUAUUGAGGGGAUUUAUAGAAUCACAGGCUCAGAAGAGAAGCCAAGAGCCUGGAGAGUUGUUCUCCUGCCUUGGGGUAAGUUAGCAGUUGGCUUCCUGGGUAGACUGGCUCACUUUUCUUACUAUAGUUUUUCAGAAUAAAAGAUUAUAUUCCUCAUUCUGCACAAAGGAUUAUAAUGUUCAGUAAUCCUCACAGCCGGGAUAUUUUUCCUUUAACCCCCCUGAGAAUUAGAGUUGGAAACCAUUGGCUUCUCAUUUGAAUAAACCUCGGUUCCUGAAAAGUCUUGGCAUGAGUAUGUGGAGUCAUCUGUGACCUUUGAAGACAUCAUCUGUUUUGGACACAGAUAAGUCUGUGUUUCUAUCAUUUUAGUGAGGUUUUUUUUUGAUACUUUCUCCAGGUGCCCGGGAUCAGAUCUGGAACGGCCACCCCUACCUUUUUCCCAUGGGCAGAAUGGCCCAAAUGCAAAGAGGACAGAUUUCCUAAGAAUGGGAGUGUGUGGAAAAGACGGAUGGCCUCCUCUGCACCUGACAGCUUCCCACUGACAACAUCUGUGAAGGGAGGAGAGGUAUUUACUUUGAGAUCCUAUUUGUGUCACUAGCAAAUCAGAUGUAGACUUGAACGGCAUCUGUGGAAGUGAAGGCAGAGGCUCUAAAUCUGCUUUCUCCUUCAGCCCUGCGGCCACCAUGUCCCUCACUCUUGACGUUGGGCAGAGUUUGCUUUAUCAUUAAGUCUCUGGUGGUGAAACCAACUGCCUACAGCUUGUCAGGCCAAAAAAACCCUCCUGGCAGGGUCCCAUGACUGCAUGGGGUGGGAAGAACCCCAGUUCUUGGUGGGUGUGUCUUUUCCAUUGACAUUUUAGUCCCUGGCCCACUUCAGUCCAUCUCAGGGACAACAAGACUAGAACUGGAAUAUGAUGAGUUGUUAAGCUCAGAGUCUGAUGGACAACUCAGAUUCGAGCUCUUCUUUACAAUGAAAAAUAUGUGUUCCUAGUAAUAUAGAUGCCUGUGACCUUCACACGAGAUUUCUUCCCAGUAACAGUUCAGAUCUAGAAUCUGAAGUUGCUCAGAGAACUCAGAAGUGAAAACUUUUACAAAAAAUCUCCUCCUCUUAAAAAGACCAGAAUUUAAAAACUGAGUUUUGACCUACUGAACUCUUAUUAUGUACUAUGCAAAUAAGACAUGCUACCUGUCUUCAAGAGCCUAGCCUUGCCAGAGAGGACCUUCACGUAUGUGAUGUAUGAUGCUAAAUAAAUGCCAUGGGGAGGUGUUCUGAGCCAGGCAAUGUCUGAGAGGGGUCUUGAAAGAUGAGUGGGCUGCAGUUAGGUAACAGGAGAAGAAGGGCCGGGGGAGGUGGUGAGGUAAGGGUGAACCACUUCUCCAGGGAACUGCAAGUGGUCCCGUGAGGCAGGAUUCAGAGUGCAAGGUGGGAAUGAUACAAUGUGACAUUCCAUAGACAGGAUGAAGGGCAGACCUAAAGCAUUAGAGUUUGAGCCUGAAGGCAAUUAGGAAUCAUUACACAAUAAGGAUCGCCUCCUGUUUGUGACUUUAAAAGCCAUUUGGGUGGUGGAGGGAGAGGCUUACAUAAGAAUGAAUUGGUGAAGACAAAGUUGGAGGUAGAGAAACUGGAAAAUUCUUGAAAUAACAUGAGAGAUUGGUGUGAACUCAGGUAGUAGCAAGGGGAUGGAGACGGAUGAGUUGGUACCAUAUUAUGGAGACGAAUUAAUGGUUUCUCUGAUUGGCUGUUACAGCUGUGGGAAAAGAAAUCAAGGGAGAAGUAGCUCCAAAUUGUGGUCACUGAGGAGAAGGUACUGAGGUCAGUUUCAGAGGUAGGAAUUGUGAGAUGUGUAUGGGGCAUCCCAGGGGCAGUGUCCAGCAUUGGUCUGGAUCAUCUGGGUCUGGGUCGUGACUCACUGGUCACUGAGCCAUCUGCAUGUACGAGUAGGUGAAAUCACCCAUCGCUUGUGCAGAGGAGCAGAGAAUGUGCACUCUGCCCUUGCUUCAUGCUGGAGCACAGCCCUUCAGGGUCUCAUCCAGUGUGCAGCAUUGACAAUACUGUUCUCUCCUGGCACCGACGGACACGCACUUACAUUCCUCCUCUGUUUUCUGGACUUCACAAAAUCACAACUUCCAUUAUUAAAAUCUCACCUAUACCUUAUAGUUCAUUUUAGUUCUCAGGAGGAUGUGGGAAAAUGUCUUUUUUUUCUGGGAACAUAAACAGAUGCCUUAAUUUGGGUAUUAGCUAUGCCCAGACACCAAAGUGAAAUGAUGUAUGAUGAUGCCUUUGGGACAGCUACACUGAGUGACAAAUCCUUGCUUCGUUUCCAGAUGUGGAGGUGGAUUGUUUUCUGUUAAUUCUGUUCCCUGACUGCCAGAACUAGAUUCCGAGCCCUUUGUCACUAUUUUUGUUUCCACAGAAUAGUCUCCAUAUCUGUUUGUCUCUGACCGCUGGUGGAUUGUUGUGAACGUUUACAUAAUGGGCAUGGGAGGAGGAUGGCUUUCAAAACUUGAUUUUCCAAGGCCUGACAAAAGAGUAAAUAUUUUUAGAUUUUUGAGAAACAUAAUUCAGAGCAGCAAAUAAAUGUCUUAGUGUUCUGAGGGAUUCAAAUGUUCUAAAUGAGGACACUCUCAAGUAGCAUCUGUGCCUGUCUCUUCACCACGUCCCUAAUUCCCUUUGAGGCACAGUGAAGCAAGAUCACUCUGAGCACCGAUUGCUUCUCUUCUGAAAUAAGUGAGUGCUAGCAGGUCUCCCAAUUUGCAGGUGCUGUUUUGUUGAGUCAAAGAAUACUCCAAGUAGGAGCAUUGGCAUGCUGGAGAGGAGCGCCUACACCUCUGCAGUGGGACUCUCUGGAGGAGCCACGUGUUUCCCAAAUCUUUUGGAAUGGAUAGGAUGCAAUUCCAUGCCCAUUUUGUGCCUUUUUAAUUUUGCUCAAUUUGAGACCUCUGGGGUGGACUUGUCUACAAGAUGUGAGCCCACCCCAGAAAAAUCUCGGUUCUUAUGCCAUUUCUCUUCCUCCCUCCACUAGUGAAGACUGGACACAUCUCUGCCUUCACAGGUGAGGGGUGUGGGGGCAGGAUGGAGUUGCUGAUGUGAACUGGACUUUUAUGACUCAACCCUGGCUAGUUUGACUUUAGGGACAUGGUUUCUGUACUAAUAACAAAUGCUGUCAAUCAAAGCAUCAUAUCGAAGGGUACAGUGUUAGAGUCUGUAAACAAGUCAAAAUAACACUAACAGUACAGAACCUUGUAUCUAGAAUAUUCUUUAUUUAGAUGGAAAAAAAGUAUCAGAAUAAAAAAACAAGACUUGUGUCCCAGUGAGUUGAUUUUUACUCUGGAGAGAGUGGCUGAUUGGAAAUAGGUGGGGGGGGGGGGGGGAGGCAGAGCACAAGCUACCUCUAAGUAGAAAUGGGGAGGGGGGUGGUCAAAAAUGAGUUCUGGGGACAGACUUCUAUUCAAAAGGAAGGACAUAUGAAUUCAUUUUGGAAUUCUAAGAGGUGCUGGAAACAGAAAUUUAAAAACUGUAAAGAUGACCUAGAGUUUUGUUAAGAAGUAUCUGGUUUGGCUUUUGUACCCAAGCAGUCAACUGCGCAGCUUAAGAAAUGGCUGAAUCCUUUCAACCAAAGUAGAGAAUGAUUAAUGCAGAAACAGCAGCCUAGCAUUAAUGGCAGCAUCAGGACAAGUGAUGGUGGCAGGCAGCUUUCCGGGCACCGGACACAAAGGUGACUAAAACAGUAAGAGAAAGAACUCAGGGGCAUUGUGGUGUGUAUCUGCAUACAAUCUUGUGCAAGCUGGAGCAAGCAGCAGGUAACCACAGUGAUCUGAAAGCUAAGAGCAGUCCCAACGAAUGACUGUCUCUCCUGACAUUAUUCCCAGGCUCAGGCAGCCUGAGAAAUCAGUUUUUACUCUAGGUUAUACGCACCACUACGGAGAGCAUGUUUUAGGUCCUUGUUUCUCUCUGACUGUACCUCUCUCUAUAACUCUCUCUGUCUCUCUUCUGUGUCUCCUCUGUUUCUCAUACAAGUGUGCACAAUGCUCAGACUUUCAGGUUAUGAGACUUUUUUGGAGGCUACAUGACUUCUCUAAAAGAUCCAGAAUUUUGGAGGUCUAGAGCUGGGGUCUGGGGUUUGAACGCAUGUGAUUUAUACACAGGUGGCUCUUUGGAGAAGCAGAAAGAGGUAAGUAAGAUAGAGCAGGUGUUAUGGUUUAGAUAUGAAGUGUUCCCCGAAACUGAUGUGUGGGACAAUGCAGGAAUGUUCAGAGGUGAAAUGAUUAAAUUAUAAGAGCUGUAACCUAAUCGGUGGAUUAAUACAUUUGAUAGAUUAAUAAUUUGAAUGGAUUAAUGGGUGAGAACUGUAGCAGGUAGUUCAUGACUGGAGGAAGCAGGUCGCUGGGAGAGUGCCUUUGGGAAUUAUAUUAUCCCUGAUUCGUUAUUCCUUGCACUCAAGUCUCAUAUUCUCUCUCUCUCUCUCUCUCUCUCUCUCUCUCUCCUUCCUGGCUGUCGUGAACUGAGCAGUCUUCCUCCACUGCGCCCUUCUUCCGUGAUGUCCUGCCUCAGCUCAGGGCACAGCUAUGGGGUCGGCCCACCAUGGACUGAGCCUCUGGAACCUAGAGCCAAAAUAAACUUGUCCUCCUCUUAGUUGUUCGUAUCAGGUCUUGUGGUCACAGUGACACAAAGGUGACUAAAACAGCAAGAGAAAGAACUCAGGAAGCGUUUCGUGUCAGCUGGACUCCACAGAAGCUGUGGAACAUCAGUGGCGCCCAGUGUAGGGGUGGGCAGGGCUUAUUGUCUUGGGGAGUCUGCUUCUAUUCAUGGGUAAUUCUUCUGAGAAGAGCACUAUCCAACACCCACAAAUGUUGGGACAUGAGGAUUCUCACCCAGAAAAGAGGAUCUAGGUGGAUGCUGCCACAGACUCUACCCUUUUUUUUUUGCAGACUGAGUAACUGAGAUUCAAGAUACGCAUUGCACUGGCUACCUAACCAGUCAGUGACACAGCACGAACUCAGAAUUAGUGAGCAGAGAUCACAGCAUGGUCUCCCCAUUUCAUCCCAUCUAUGCAUGAGACUCCGGGCCCUCUGGUAGUGUUGGUCCCCAAAACCAAUAUUAAAGCCUGCAUGAAUCCUGGCUCUGGCUGAGGCCAGCACAGAAGGGUGAAGAUUAUUUUAUAUUAUUGGAAUACAGUUCUCCAUGGAUCUCUUACGCUUCCAUAUGUCUUGUGAGGAAAGACACUGACUGCUGUUAUUCCUGACCAUCUUUUCAAUGAUAUUUGUUUAGCCAACAGCCUUGGGAGACAGGGACAGUGUCUUUCCCAGGCAAGGGGAGGCAUGCUUCCUAUUCUACAAGGUUUGGAUUCAUUAAGCUCAGCUGUCAUCUCUCAUAGCAUAAUACACAGAGUAUGUCCUCUAAGCAGUGCCUUCUAAAAUUGGGCUCAGGGAACUGAUGUAAAAGUAGGAUAUUCUGGCU